CUAUGCAAGAGGGAGUCUGAGACGGCGGCACAUUUACUGUUCAAGUGCAGAUACUCCACCCGCAUAUGGAACGCGGUGAGAUGCUGGUUGGAUGCGCCUGAGCUGGACACUAUCGCUUGGGCAGGGAUCCCAACGGUCCAGGAGUGGUGGACGACUGUGCUCGAGCGUGGGCACCGGAGAAAGGCCGUAUCCUCACUUAUAUCGCUUGUAUACUGGGAGGUUUGGAAAGAGAGAAAUGCGAGGGUGUUUUAGAAGAAAUCUUCUAUGCCAACAAGCGUGUUCGCGGGCAUCAAAAUAGAGGCCCAAAAUUGGGUCUUGGCCGGAGCUAAACACUUGGGAUCAUUGAUGCCGUGA
Molecule: ribosomal RNA, 354 nt
Filed under: Triticum aestivum (bread wheat)
Lineage: Eukaryota; Viridiplantae; Streptophyta; Magnoliopsida; Poales; Poaceae
Description: partial small subunit ribosomal RNA
Source: RNAcentral